GGAGAAGUGCCAGAGAGGCCAAAUGGCGCACGUUGGAAACGUGAUGGUCGCAGCGAUGCGGCACAGGAGUUCGAUUCUCCUCUUCUCCGCCA
This 92-nucleotide transfer RNA is filed under the name Burkholderiaceae bacterium. RNAcentral describes it as "tRNA-Ser". It matches the Rfam family "tRNA". From Rfam's summary of the family: Transfer RNA (tRNA) molecules are approximately 80 nucleotides in length. Their secondary structure includes four short double-helical elements and three loops (D, anti-codon, and T loops). Lineage: Bacteria; Pseudomonadati; Pseudomonadota; Betaproteobacteria; Burkholderiales; Burkholderiaceae. The record is from RNAcentral.